Long non-coding RNA from Lotus japonicus, 1532 nucleotides. RefSeq lists it as uncharacterized. The record is from RefSeq and is a predicted model, not a curated record. The transcript is spliced from 2 exons. NCBI's taxonomy places the organism in Eukaryota, Viridiplantae, Streptophyta, Magnoliopsida, Fabales, Fabaceae.
GCUAAAAAACCUUGACCUAAUUUUAGAUCCCCAAUCUUGUGAACUUUGUUCUUCAUCCUCUUCUUUGUCUCGUCGUCGCCGUCGCCGCCGCCGGGUUCAUCUCCUCCGGGUUCUUCAUCUUUUUCUUGUCGGCACUGCUGGCUGUUGUGGUCGUAAUCUGUUGAGCCGUGUACUUCAGCUUCUUCAUCUCAUCGCUGCAGUGUUCUUCAUCUUCUUCGUCUCGUCGCUGCCAUAUUCGUAUUCUGUCACUGCGAGGUUGUCUAAAAGGCGACCUCCACUUCCUUUUGCGGUCCAUUCCACUUCUCAGCCGUGUUCUGGAUACCAUUGAUGUCGUCGUCGUUCUUGUACCUGGAACCUGAAGCCCUAAGCUACCUAUGCCCUUGAUUUCUUGAAGGUGUAAAUAGUGUGUUCUGAAAAGCCCUAAGAGUCUUUCCUUUAUGCUUCUAAGGUACUCAUUAUAGGCUUUUGGGGAGACUGAUUGUGUUUUUGCUGAAUGCAAGUUAAUCACUACACAGCUUAAAUACUGGCCUUGACAAGCACAACAACCUUGGUGUUUGUUUGGUUAUGUGACCAUUUUAGUAUUCCUUCAUAAAAAUAUUCAGUUGGGGUGAAGUAGAAGGAGUUUGGUAUUGUUUUUUGUCUGGCUUGUGUUUUCAGUUGGUUAAAAGUCAUUCUGCAUCUAGGAAAUGCAUUUUAAGGGGACCAGAGUUGAUUUUUACUCCCUCUAAAGUGAUGAUGCUUCUUAAUAGUGCCUGAGAAAUCAAAAACAUAUUGAAGUGCAUUUUGAAGUGAAAACUGAUAGCAGUCUUAGAUAAGUCCUCCACUGUAAUCUUAAAAAAUUUAUAUUUUAACUAUCUUAAUUAUCUACAAGCUAGAAUGCAGGGUCUUGAUAAUUCUUUCGCUGAAUGGUUAAUGCUUUUAUCAUUGAGCCUCGCUGGAUUAUAGAUGAAAACGGUAAUGCUGGGUGAUGAUACGGAAGUGCUAAAACCUCUGUCACUUUAGUCUGGUAUAUUAUAAUGAAGAAAGAGGCAUACUGGACUUGAUGGGCUAUGGAAUGUUUUAUUGGUGUUUGCUGGCCAAUUUCAUCUUGAUAUCACCAACAGCUAUAUGGGUCCAUUCACAAGUAUAAGGGAUAGCUUGCUGGCUCUAUUUUUGCAGCAACUGGAAUUGAAGAUGGAUCUGUCAAGUAGAAUUUGAAUUGAAAAUGCAACAUUGAAGAAGGGUAUUGGGCAAUGAAUUUGAUUUUGGAUGAAUGCGAUUCGAAUUGUUGACCAAUUAUCUGGUUCAUGCAACAUCCAUUCUACUGAUAUGCACUCUCCUACUGGUGUUUGUAUCAUUCAUAGGAAGUGGAACUAUUUUUUAUUGUUGCUUCGAUUUAUUAGUGCUAUCUUAAGCUAGUCAUAUUCAUAUAGCUUUCUUUGUAAGGGUUGGAGCACCCUUGUGCUUCCUUAAAUUCAAUUUUGGCUUUUAAGAAAAAAAACUAUCUUAACUCUUGCUUCUCUCUAUUCAUUACUAUAUAGCUUGCUUUGUCA